ACGGAAGGCAGCAGUGGGGAAUAUUGCACAAUGGGCGAAAGCCUGAUGCAGCGACGCCGCGUGAGUGAAGAAGUAUCUCGGUAUGUAAAGCUCUAUCAGCAGGGAAGAAAAUGACGGUACCUGACUAAGAAGCCCCGGCUAACUACGUGCCAGCAGCCGCGGUAAUACGUAGGGGGCAAGCGUUAUCCGGAUUUACUGGGUGUAAAGGGAGCGUAGACGGUUUGGCAAGUCUGAAGUGAAAUGCGGGGGCUCGACUCCUGAACUGCUUUGGAAACUGUCGAACUAGAGUGCAGGAGAGGUAAGUGGAAUUCCUAGUGUAGCGGUGAAAUGCGUAGAUAUUAGGAGGAACACCAGUGGCGAAGGCGGCUUACUGGACUGUAACUGACGUUGAGGCUCGAAAGCGUGGGGAGCAAACAGGAUUAGAUACCCUGGUA
RNAcentral lists this ribosomal RNA (434 nucleotides) under uncultured Clostridium sp. Its description in RNAcentral is "partial 16S ribosomal RNA". It matches the Rfam family "Bacterial small subunit ribosomal RNA", at positions 341 to 792 of the family's 1533-position model. Lineage: Bacteria; Bacillati; Bacillota; Clostridia; Eubacteriales; Clostridiaceae. The record is from RNAcentral.